UAACUGCUUUGUAAUUCCUUUUUUUUUGGGGCCUUCUCAAAGAUUGUAAGUUGUAACUGUUUUGUAGUUCUCAUUUUUUUUUGGCAGUAAGAUAUCUGAAAAAAACAUUUUCUUCUAUUCAAUUAAAACAUGUUUAUUCAAAGUAAAUAAGGGAUCAAAGUUUGCCGAACUAAAAGAGAUGUGUUGAAAGAACACAUGUUAAUAAAAUACUAAAAGUACCACAUGCAGAAAAAGAAGAAAAGGCAAUGUUAAAGUACAGAGCUCGAGAAUAAACAUAUUAGAAAACAUAUUAGGAAGAAGAAGAAGAAGAAGAAGAGGCAAUGUUAAAGUACAGAGCUCGAGAAUAAACAUAUUAGAAAACAUAUUAGGAAGAAGAAGAAGAAGAAGAAGAAGAAGAAAAGGCAAUGUUAAAGUACAGAGCUCGAGAAUAAACAUAUUAGAAACCAUAUUAGGAGAAAUUUUGUCGAAGGUUCUUCCUUUGACAUGAACAAUCCAUUGUUCAUUAGCAGCCCAACUGAAUGCUCUCAUGCAGUUAGUAAUAGUUGUUAUCUUAAAAAUCAGUAUUUCGUAGCCCAGGAUGACACUGACAAAUUUUGAUAGGGAUACUGUUAUGGAAACUCUAUUUCAAAAAAUUGCUUAUAUUCUGAUUGACUGGAAACCUUAGCAAUCAACUUAUGACAGUUAAAGUUAAACCAUGAAAAAAGUAAGGAUUCAAAAAAAACUAUGACACAGGUGAGAUGCCAAUAAAGUUUUGAAGUAUUUUGGAGAGAUGGAAGUAUAAAACUCAUCCGUACUAAUGUAAAUUAUUAGCAAUAAUAUUAAUAAAGUUGAAGACUUGAUGAUUUUCAAGAAUACUACAAUAUAAUUAAAAAAACAUGAAGAUUGAGCACCCUUGAUAAUGUCCCAGAGUUGGAAAGUUUAUUAAAAUUUAUUUACUAUUAUGAAGGUGUGAGUAGUUGAAUUCAAAAUUCUAAAUAUAAAGAGUAGACAGCUUUUCUAUGAAUUUUUUUUUUUAUCUAUAAUUUACAUUAUUUAAAUGAAAAUAAAAUCAUAAAGUUUAUUAAUUAAAAAUUUUGGCCCACAUAUUUCUUGGGGCCUAAAGCAAGGACUUCAUUAGUCUUCCUCUUGAGUUACUCCUGGACAUCAUAAUGAUGAUAGAGAAUCAAUUUGAAUUUGUGCUUAGAAAAUUCAUAACAAAGACUAAUUUUGAGAAAGUCAUAUAAUGAAACUUUUGGAAUAAGGGACAGUUUAGAUUUUGGGACAUCAUAAUAAUGAUAGUGAAUCAAUUUGAAUUUAUGCUUAGUUGAUCCAUAACAAAGAUUAAUUCUGAUAGGACGAUUGAUGAAAAUAUAUACUGAGCAAAAGAAAGAUCUUCAUACGAUAACUAUAUUCACAAGAUUGACUGCAUAAAUAUAUAAAUGUGAAGAUGUGUCAGUUAUAAAGAUAGAUCGGAUAGAUGAGAGACAAUCUCAUUCAGUAGAGGAUGCAUAUAACAUACACAGAGUAUAUGAUGAGAGAAAGUAGUCUGUUUAAAGUUAAAUGUUUGGCUAAAUUCAUUAGCACCGCCCAAAACUUGUCUGAAUCUUUCAUUGUGACUAUAGAACUAGGACUUAUUCCAAUUACACACUUCAACUGCUCAAAAAGUGUCUUAUUAGAUACUUUUUGCUGGCUUAACAUUAUGUGAUAAAACACCUGAAAUGGACGCGUGAGAGGGAAUAACACUCAAGGGUGUGGGUGGUCAAUGAAGUGGGUUGAGAACCAUCAUGUCCCAAGUCCAAGUCCCAGUGGAGGCAAAAACACUAGUUAAGUUCUUCCCAUUUGUCCAAGCAUUGGUGGACAGAGUUACCCAGUACCUACACUAGUGGGAUGUUGCAGGUG
Long non-coding RNA from Capsicum annuum, 1878 nucleotides. RefSeq lists it as uncharacterized. The transcript has 2 exons. Lineage: Eukaryota; Viridiplantae; Streptophyta; Magnoliopsida; Solanales; Solanaceae. The record is from RefSeq and is a predicted model, not a curated record.